GAGAGAGAGAGAGAGAGAGAGAGAGAGAGAGAGAGAGCACUGCUCUAGUGAUUCCACUAAGUCAAGGAACAUUAGGUGGUUGAGUUUAGCUUGUGAUAUAUUAUUUAAAUCAGUAAUGUAAAAUAAUAGGUCUAUUAAAGAUUAAUUAUAAGGAAUACUACUGGAAACUAGCUCUUUCUGACAGAAUAAAAUAUUAUAGAGGAACUCUUGUUAUCUGGCAUCCAAGGCAUUGAGUUUUGUUUUGUUGAGCAUUGAGAUGCACCCAACAUUUUCAACCUUUACUUAAACCUCUAACACUUCAGCUUAUUCUGUUAAAAUGUCCUUUCCAUCGGACCCCUCUGAUCAUGAUAUUAUUUCUGUAUACAUACUGUCCUAUCACUAAGCAGGGGUGUCUGCUAAGUGGUAACAUUCUGAUUUUGACUGGAAUUGCAUUAUUUCUGUGUCAGAGAUCCAUUUCUCUGUACAGAGUACAAAACAGAGGUGAUUGUGUCUGGCAUGGAGGCAUACAUUCCACACACUUUCUCUAACCUCAGAGCUCAUAAAUUAUGGUUCAGUUUAGCUUGUUUUCCUGCUUUCCAGCAUGGAGGCAAUUCACGAAGGGUACAUUAGUCUUCCAUCUCUUGAAACUGAUGCCCUUUACAUUUCUGCCCAAAAUCAUGCCAGAUAUAUUCUUAGAUUUGCUGAAAACUCUUGCAUCAUUGAAAAAUGUUAUAAUCUAACCAGAUCAUCUUAUUGUUUCUGGCACCUAGCCAAAAGUAUCUCCAACUUUUUUCUUUUUCAUUUUUCAGAUGGCUCCACCACCAUCUCUAUCUCUGAACUUGAACUCUUUUAAAACUUUGCUGACAACUCUACACUGGAUCAUUCUUUGGUUGUUACUCAUUUCCUCCCUCCGACAAUGUUGUCUCUGAAAUAGAAAUUUGAAAAAAUGUUAUUUAUGCCCUCUCUGGUUUUGGUCCUCCGAAGGCUUAUGACCCUAAUGGAGUCUCAUAUUGUUCUCUAUGCAGAUCAAAUCCUCAAUGACACUAUUCAUCUUUCUAUCUAUCUAUCUAUUUGACUCCUAAUCCUAAAAACAAAUGAAAGGGAUGGCAAAGAAAAGUCCAAUUAUUUUUGUCCUUGCAUAUGCUCCUUGCAUGGGCUAAUCCUCUUGUUUUCCCCUUGUCCCUUCUCCCAGAGCCAGGACCACAGAAAGACAAAACCCUCCUGCACCUCACUACACACAUGACCAGCUGCUUACUUACCCUUACCUCUGGUGCUGACUUCAUGACCAGCCAGAUCUUGUAUUGCAGGGAAUACUCAAGGGUGUGCCACAUAAGCUUGAGGAGGGGCUGCUUUGGCGUGUUCUCCCUCCUGUCUGUCAAGGUCCUGCUGUCAAUGCCUAGUGAAGGGAAAUCUCAUUACUGAACAGUCUCCUGGCAGCUUCGGAACCUUACAACUACCCCAGGUCACAAGCUUUCAAAGGGCUUGUGAGAAUCGACAGGAGAAACGGGCAGGCACUGGGACGGAGUGAAAGACACAGCCACUCACAGGCAGUGAUGCAUACGUGUUUGAUGAAAACAAGCUGAUGUGCAUGUAUUGUUUUCAAUAAAAUCUCAAACAUACAGAAUUAUCAACAUACAAGUCACUCAAGUGAAAACCAUUAUUAAAACUGUGUAGUGUGAAUUGUUUCAAAUUAAGAGAAUAGUAAGUAACAUUUGUUUAAAAUGAGCGUAGAACAGUCAAGCCUUCCAGUGGUGUGUGGCAUUCUGGCAGGGCAGGUAAAGGUGUCUGAAUGGCUUUCCUGUCUUGGGCCAUGACUUCCAACACAUUAUUGUGUUCUGGUACAAUGCCAUAAUGCAGUGUGAGGUCAUGACUGAUACAAUAAAUUCAUGCUAAAAUACUCUGCAGUGUGGUUUGUAUUUGCACAGGUCUGAAGAGGCAAUACACGGGAUAGAAUGUUCCCCUAACAUGGCAGGAUUGCUCUCACCUCUGUGUAACCUGUAACCUGAACAGCUGCUAGAUGUGCUACCGACAUCACAGUUUCCUCGUUCCAUAAUCGCUAAUAGAUCAUAUUUUGUUAUUUUAUAAUACUUGCAGUCUGUCUAGAUAGACUAGGAUAAUAAACAGGGAUACCUAAGAGAUGGAACAUAACCAGAAUGUGGAAACGUGAAAAUACCAGCAAAGAGAUGCUUUGACAUUUCAUUUCAUAACUGCAACAAGUUUUACUGAUCAUAUCUGGCCAACACCAGACCAUUUUGACCUGGAAAGUCUUAACCAGGCUUUGACAUAUUACUAUAUGCCUGUUCUUUAAAUGUAACACCCAUUAAACAGGAAUAAC
This is a long non-coding RNA of Scylla paramamosain (green mud crab), 2314 nucleotides long. RefSeq lists it as uncharacterized. The record is from RefSeq and is a predicted model, not a curated record. The transcript is spliced from 3 exons. Lineage: Eukaryota; Metazoa; Arthropoda; Malacostraca; Decapoda; Portunidae.